GAUUUCCUCCCCCUUUUAGGGUUUUGCCAAGUGCAUUUUUAGUCACAAAUGCAGCAAAAAUACACCUAGAAAAUGUCUUUUUUCCUUUUUUUUUUUUCCUAGCCAUCAGUAAGCAUUUCCAACUCCUAUUUGUGCCCACAGACAAGUCCUCUUUGAAAACAUCGUGGAAAAGCCUGACGAUUUUCAAAGAAGUGAGACACGAGCUCCUCAAAAGCUUUAUAUAUUUCAAAUAAAACAAGAUCCUGCAUGCCAGAGUGAAGAUCUAAAGAUUCCCCAAAACCUGGAAUUGUUUUUGAGUAAGGGAGAAGAAAUCGCUCCAACCAAGGCUGACCCCAGAGCUGUUACUGAGCUGGAGAAAUGACCGUAGCAUGUUAAAAUAAGGCAGGUGGAUCCUUCACAAGUUUCUCCUGCUGUUUUUCUUCUAAGCCUUGAAGAUUCAUGUGAUUUAAAUCCUGAAGUGACAGGAGGGAAGCAAAUGCUAUAACUUUCAUUACCCACACAGUGAUUAUGAGAGGCUUCAUUGAUGGCCAGGUGUCUCCACGAUAGGCUCCACAGCAGAAGCAGCAGCGACCCACAGGCAGGGGCCAUGGACUCCAGUACAGAGGCAGGUAUUGAUGGAAGGGGGGGACACCUACACGUUAAACACAUGCAGCACCAUGACUUGGAACCACAUCUCAGCCAGCCACACAUCACCUACUGAAUUCCAGAAAAGGGAGACAAUUCUCCUUCGGUUCAAAUGCAAAGAACUUGUGGUUUAGAAGAAAAAAAGCUCUAUUAUUUCCUCUCUCU
RNAcentral lists this long non-coding RNA (789 nucleotides) under Calidris pugnax (ruff). Its description in RNAcentral is "lncRNA (ENSCPUG00000011176.1)". The record is from RNAcentral. Lineage: Eukaryota; Metazoa; Chordata; Aves; Charadriiformes; Scolopacidae.